This 654-nucleotide ribosomal RNA is filed under the name uncultured bacterium. RNAcentral's name for it is "bacterial SSU rRNA". It matches the Rfam family "Bacterial small subunit ribosomal RNA", at positions 900 to 1533 of the family's 1533-position model. The record is from RNAcentral.
CUCAAAGGAAUUGACGGGGGCCCGCUACAAGCGGUGGAGCAUGUGGUUUAAUUCGAAUGCAACGCGAAGAACCUUACCUGGUCUUGCCAUUCGGAGAUCUUCGGAUCAAAACCUGUUUGACGGUUACCCGAAGCUUAUCACAGGUGCUGCAUGGCUGUCGUCAGCUCGUGUCGUGAGAUGUUGGGUUAAGUCCCGUAACGAGCGCAACCCCUAUCUUUUUAAUUGCCACUAUCAAGUUUUCAAGGAGCACUUUAGAGAGACUGCCGGUGUUAAACCGGACUGGAAGGUGGGGAUGACGCUCAAGUCCUCAUGGCCCUUAUGACAAGGGCUGCACACGUGCUACAAUGGACGGUACAUCGAGCCGCACCAUCCGGUACGGCUACCUUGUUAAUCCCACAAAGCCAUCCCUAGUUCGGAUUUAGGAGUCUGCAACUCGACUCCGUUAAGAUGGAAUCUUUAGUAAUCUCCAAUCAGCAUGGCGCGGUGAAUAGCGUUCCCGGGCCUUGUACACACCGCCCGUCACACCAUUCUGAUCCACGAUUCCUAGCGACUCCGACUUCAUGAAGGCGAAUUUCAGCCUUCAAUCCGGACUUUGAACCGUUUUACAAGGGAUUCGUACGCCUCACGGUAGGUGGAUCACCUCCCUUCCAUUGA